GGGUACGGGAUUGCUUAUUGCACCACAUGUGUUUUUCUUUGAAACAAACUUGCUUUGGCGGUGGGCCCAGCCUGCCGCCAGAGGUCUAAACUUACAACCAAUUUUUUAUCAACUUGUCACACCAGAUUAUUACUAAUAGUCAAAACUUUCAACAACGGAUCUCUUGGUUCUCGCAUCGAUGAAGAACGCAGCGAAAUGCGAUACGUAAUAUGAAUUGCAGAUAUUCGUGAAUCAUCGAAUCUUUGAACGCACAUUGCGCCCUCUGGUAUUCCGGAGGGCAUGCCUGUUUGAGCGUCGUUUCUCCCUCAAACCGCUGGGUUUGGUGUUGAGCAAUACGACUUGGGUUUGCUUGAAAGACGGUAGUGGUAAGGCGGGAUCGCUUUGACAAUGGCUUAGGUCUAACCAAAAACAUUGUUUGCGGCGGUAACGUCCACCACGUAUAUCUUCAAACUUUGACCUCAAAUCAGGUAGGACUACCCGCUGAACUUAAGCAUAUCAAUAAGCGGAGGAA
RNAcentral lists this ribosomal RNA (511 nucleotides) under Candida albicans. Its description in RNAcentral is "eukaryotic LSU rRNA". The stretch from base 144 to 297 matches the Rfam family "5.8S ribosomal RNA". Lineage: Eukaryota; Fungi; Ascomycota; Pichiomycetes; Serinales; Debaryomycetaceae. The record is from RNAcentral.